AAGCCGGUGGUUUGAGUGAAGACUUGAGGUUUAAAACUCUAAGAGACCAUCCAAGAGAAAUGAAUAGUUCGGGUUUGGAAGGAAGUCUGUCUCAUUAUUCAUCGUCAGCCAGCUUCUUGCCUGGUUCUUCCUCUACCGAUGAUGUCCGUGAAAUUAAUGCAGAGGCAUAUUUGAAGUUUAAGGCCAUGAGAGACAGUCAUAUUCAUAUGGAAAGACAAAGAUCGGUUGCCCAAUUAUCAACACCAGUCCCCUCAUGGACUGGUUCUUCAAAAUCUGCCCAUGAUCUUCACAACACAAUUUGAGUCCAGCGGAUGUGCUAAAUCAUCCGCAAGCUAGUUUCAAGUUUCAACAUUCAACUUUUUUGUAACCUACGUCUAUGUGUCAUACCUUCUCGCAUCAUCUUUGUAUCUAAAAUUUUCAGCAAGUACGUACUAUAGAAGUCAUAUCUGUGUGUUUGGAGGAAAGAGUUACCAUUUUUCUGGAGUUGUUGAAAUUAUGGAGCUUGAAGGUUGAUGCGGAAAUCCAUCAUCAUUGAAUAAUAUUGUGAUUUUUUUUAAUUAAAUUCCUUUAUUUGGAUGAAUGUAUGUAUACGUAUAUAUGUACGAUUUUUUAGAAAUAGGUGAAAGAUGUGAUAAAAUUGAUGAUGUUGAUAACACAUAUAAAAAGUUUUGAGUUGAGGAAAAUUAUCAAUUGGUAAUAGCGAUGCUGAUAAUGAAUAGUUUAUAAACUAAUGCGCAAAUACUAUACGCGACCCAACCCGAUCAUAUAUAUAUAUAUUUUUUUUUAAUUUUUUUAUGUGAACAUUCUAAGUCCAUCCUUUUUAGAUAAGGAGUGCAAUGCAUUCAGACAAGCCGAUCCUUAUACCCUCAAAAUUUAGGAAAAUAAUACUUAAAUUAUGUUCUGAUUAUAAUACCCUUAGUAAAUAAUAAUUAAAAAUUUUACUUUAAAAUUAUUUAAUAAGUACAAAUAUAAUGUAAAUAGUUUAAUUUUUCUAGUAUUCUAAUAAUAUUAGAAUAUUUUUUAAUAUAUAAAAUUAUCUUAAAAAUUUUACUUUAAAAUUAUUUAAUAAGUACAAAUAUAAUGUAAAUAGUUUAAUUUUUCUAGUAUUCUAAUAAUAUUAGAAUAUUUUUUAAUAUAUAAAAUUAUCUUCAAAAUUAUUGAAAUUAUUUUGAAACGCAUAUAUUAAUUUAUAAGUGCACAAAUGUAAAAAUACUUGUUUUUAGAUUUUUUAAGUUAACAAAAUAACUUAAUUUUUUUUUUUUAGAGAUUCAAACAAAAAAUAAAUAGAUCAUUUAGAUUCAGACAUUCAGUUCUAUUAAAAUUCAAACUAAUUCAAGUUUAUUCAAAUUUUUUAGAUAAAAAAAUAAACACCACCUUAGGUUUUAAAUAUACUUUUAUUAUUUUAAUAAGAGUUUAGAAAAUUAGGUAUGUAAUACAAUAAUAACCUCUAUACCUAUAAUGUGUAUAUAUAUAGUCAUUUUUUAAUGAGACAUCUUUACUUUGAUAAAGUGAUGAUGCGACUAAUAAAUAAAACACAUAUUUCAAUAUACUAAUAGGGAUCAGGCUACGGUACCACAGUGGUACCGUGCCACAUCCUUUGUCUUUUAUGGCUCAAAUAUUGUAAAUUUUCAUAUAACCCCUUUUUAUUCGUUUUUAUUUAAACUUUAAUUCACAAAUAUUAAGUUAAUAUCUAUUACAUCCACAUAGACAUUUUAGUUAGCACCUUAUACUAUUUAUUAUUUACAAAUUCUUAUUAUAUAUUGCACUUAUAUCACAAUACCCCCUCUGUGAACCGAAAUGCCCAUGCCGAACCCACAACCCGACCUGGAUGCUAUUUCCAUUUCCGGCCACUUCACCGGCCAAGGUUGGUACCGAUCGGAAGAUCGUGCGAUGCCGGUCAUCUCCAUGCCAAUUUUGUCGCCAAAAAGCGUUCGGAAAGCUCCCGAUUGAAGCCGUGAAAAGCCGUAGAGCCGCCGCUUCAAUUCGCCGCGAUUUCUUCGGUUUCCGGUGAUGCUAUCACUUGAGUUUUGCUCCCCAUGAUUCCCUCUGUAUUUUCCGACCAAUCACAGCCACCGGGGGGAGCCGAUUUGCCGUUGAUCGGUCAUUGGAGGAUUCAAGGCUUUGGGAGCUCGAUCCGGCGCCAUCACCACGCGUGAGAGGUCACCACCACCACCGUUGGACUCAGCUCGGCCAAAAGUGUCUAACUCGAGUUUCCCGUCGCCGUCAGUUGAAAUCCGGUCACCGUUGGUCGGCAUGGGUAUUUCGGUAAUGUUCACAUGGAUGUUGUUGAAAUUAGUUUAAUAUUUGUAAAGUAAAGUUUAAAUAAAAAAGAGUGAAAGGGGUUAUAUGAUAAUUUGUCACAAAAGACAAAAGGAAGUGGCAUGGUGCCACUGUGGUACUGCAGGCUAAUCCUACUAAUAGAUAAAAAAUAUAAAUUUUAAUAUAUUAAAAAUUAUAUUUUUUAUAUUUUAGUAGCAUCUUUAUUUUAACAAAAUGAGAAUAUCCAUAUUAAAAAAGAAAUAUAUUGAGAGAGGGAGAGAAAAAUGUAAGGGAGAGAAGAUUUAUGAACUAGAUAUUUUAGUUGCACUAUAAAUAUAUAUAUAUAUAUAUAAAAUCUAAAAUCCUAAUAAAUUUGGGAAAUGUACAAAAAUAGCCUAAAAUUUUUUGUAAUUUUUACAAUGAGCCAUUCAAACUUUUUUCUAUCAACAUUAGCCAAACACAAUGUUUUCUUCCCAAAUUACCCUUGUUUACAAACCAAAAGCAACUUUUCUUCUCCCCCUUGAUCAAACGAAACGUAGUCUUGUACUCUUGAAUUAUCAUCAGCGACGACAAACGGCAACGGCAACGGCGAACGGUAAAAAUGAACUCCGAUCAAAUACAGCAUAAUCCAUCCAGAUCCAACACUAAUACAUAUCACCGAGCAGUAAGAGAUAUUUUCUCAACUUGCGAACUUGAUUCAGUGCGAUUGCAGACAGGUGCGACAGGCUGCCUGUCGCACCAAGAUUUCGUGCGACAGGCACCUGUCGCGCCAAGAGUAGGUGCGACAAGCAGCCUGUCGCACCUAUUUAUGAUAAUGCAAGCUGUUGCUUCUUCUAAAAAUCAAAAUCGAAUGAGCACUUCAACAGUGGCGGCUUGCAUGGCACCUCUACUUCUUCGUCCCCUUCUAGCUGGUGAAUGUGAGAUUGAAACUGAUUUCAAUGUGGACCGCCAUGUCCCCGUUCGUCUUCUUGAUAAUUUUCUAUACGCCAUGUUUUGCUUGUUGGUGCUCAUGUGUUUCGGAGACAAGCUUGAUAAAUCCCAAAUAAAAAAAAUUGAGAACGUUCAGCGCAGACUGUUGUUGGCUGUUGGCAAGUUCAAUAUACUGAAUUUCUGGCCAAGAUUAACAAAAAUUGUUUUUUUUAAGAAGUGGAUACAGUUCUUGCAGGUGCGUAGAGAUCAAGAAAACGUAUUGGUUCCUUUGAUAACAGCAAGAAAGAAGAUGAAAGAAGAAGAGAGCCUCGGUGUCAACAAGGAGGAGUAUGUGUUAUCGUAUGUGGAUACUCUGUUAGAUUUGCAGCUUCAUGAAGAGAAAAGAAAGCUUAGCGAAGAGGAAAUUGUGAGUUUGUGUUCAGAAUUUCUCAGCGCGGGCACUGAAAGUACCUCCACGGCGCUACAGUGGAUCAUGGCCAAUCUGGUGAAGCACCCGCACGUUCAAGAGAAGGUUUAUACGGAAAUCAGAGGAGUUGUUGGUGAAAAUGAAGAGGUGAAAAAGGAGGAGUUGCAGGAGAUGCCGUAUCUGAAAGCAGUGAUUUUAGAGGGACUGAGGAGGCACCCGCCUGGGCAUUUCGUGUUGCCACAUGCCGUGACAGAGGAUUUCGUGCUUGAUGAUAAGUACGUGAUACCAAAGGACGGGAGUGUGAAUUUCAUGGUGGCCGACAUGGGUUGGGAUCCGAAAGUUUGGGAGGAUCCGAUGGCGUUUAAGCUCGAGAGGUUUUUGAAUGAUCAUGAUCAAGAUUUUGACAUAACGGGGGGUAGGGAAAUUAAGAUGAUGCCAUUUGGAGCUGGCAGGAGGAUCUGUCCCGGUUUUGGUUUGGCUAUGCUUCAUUUGGAGUAUUUUGUGGCUAAUUUGGUUUGGAAUUUUGAGUGGAAGGCUGUGGAUGGUGAUGAGGUUGAUUUGACUGAGAAGCAAGAGUUUACUCGGCUUCUGCAAGCAGCAGCUGCAGCAAAUCAUGCUCAAAUCACUCUACAAUUAUUUGGUAAAAAAUCUAAAAUAAAACACCACCUAAAAUAAAACAACGCCAGAGUCAGAUGCAUAUACAAAUGAUGAUCUUGAUAACGCAUCAAGUAGAUCUUGCAGUGAAUUCGGCGGUGAGAGAGAGAGAGAGAGAGAGAGAGAGGAAGGAGAGGACGAAAAGAUAAUGUUAUGGGAGGGGCAUUUUCGGCACUAGGGAUGAUUAUUGGCUAAUGUUGAUAGGAAAAAAGUUGAGGGGUUAGUUGUGAAAAUAACAAAUUUUUUUUGGUUAUUUGUGUAAAUUUCCCAAUAAAUUUCAAGCUGUAAUAAAUCCGAAAUCAUAAUCAUUCAAAAGAAAAAUGGUAUUUUCUGGCAAACGGAGAACCAAUAUCCUUUCCGUGAGAUUUGAGAAACAAUAAUAGCAGACAAGAAAUCAGCUUAUUGUUAUUUUCUGGCUACGCACGCUAUAGGAUCCGGCGGGAAUCGCCACUCGCCAAUCGCCCACAACUCAAAUAUCUGAGGGGGGGAGGACUCACAACUCAACUUGUGAGGGGAUAUACACAAAUAUCUGAGGGGGGAGAGGACCCACAACUCUGUAAGGGAAUGUACCUUCCAUUAACGCGUAAGGUAGGAAAUGCAUAUCGGGGAAUGAUUAAUCAGACAUGCUGUGGAUGAGGUUUAAUAAGAAUCUUAUCACUGGCAGCAAGGCAACCACGUGCACAGACAAUUUUUUAUUAAAAUAAUGCACUUGGAAAUUUUCUUAAUCGAGCUGUUUGCUUGGAGGAAGAUUCAUCAUUCCUGCAUUUAGCAAAUAUAAAAGAAGCGCAAGAUUAUUAAAACAACGUAAUAAUAACAGCUCAUCAGAAGAUCCGUACGGUACAACAAGGAAACUGGAGAGAAUUGAAAGAUGGCUCAUACCUCAUACCUCACGGCUAGCUUUUCUGGGUCUUCAAAGAUGUCCUUCUUGAAGCUUGACCUGUUCCUUGUCUCAACUCUGUCUUUAAGCUGCUUAUGGACACAAGUACUUGUUUCUGCUACUCUGCCUCGAGCUGAAGGUUCGAAUGAUCCCCUUCUUCAUGAUAUCUUGUAACCAGUUGUAGCUUAUGUUUCAUUUCUUUCUCUCUCUCUCUCUCUCUCUCUUUUGGUAUUAGUAUUGUAUUACUCUCAGAAAUAAAGAAUAAACCAUUGUUAAGAGCCUAAGAUGAUAAUUGAAUUGAGGGUCAGCGAUCUUGCAAUGGUCAGAUUAGUGACAUUCAUAAUGUUAUUAAAAUAAUAAUAAAAAAUACAACUUCAAAUUUGGUGACUGGUCGAACUCAAAACUGUUAUUUUCACCAAGUUCUGAUGUUUAAUUGAGAGAUGCUUCUUUGUGUAUGUAGUUGAUGCGCUCAAUCAAAUUGCCAAAACAAUGGGAACUAGGGACUGGACGUUUGAUGCUAAUGCUUGUGACCUGAAUGAUAUACUCCCAGUGCAGGAAUUAGAUCCCACCAGGAACAUUACUUGCAACCGUGGACUCGAUAAUACACAGCACAUUACUGAAAUGUAGGUUCUUUUUCUGUCAUUUUAUAAAAUUUGAAGCGACAUAUUUUUAUUUUUCAGUCUUGUGUUUAGGUUGAUGUGAAGGACCAAUUUUGGGUAUCUUUUGUUUCCAUUUUCAGACAAUUCAAACAUUGCAACCUUUCUGGAACACUUCCACCGGAAUUGGUUCAGCUUCCUUCCAUCCAGAAAGUGUGAGUUGAACAGUCUCCAAUUUAAUGCAUUGGGAGAUUAAACUUAUAAAUAAACUAAGAAAUAGAACUGCGUUUCGCGCGACUUUAAAAAAAAAAUUUGUAUUAUUAUUUUUUCUUAUUUUACAUUUGAUGAAACCGAUAAAAAAUAUGAAUUGAUUUUUUUUUUAAAGAUUAAGUAGCUUUAUAAAAUUAAUGUUAUUUAUGAAAGUUAAUUAUUUUUUUGGUUAACUUUAAAAAUAUAUAUUAAUGUGUAUAGUGAAAGUGUACAUACCUCAUACCUUUUAUAAUUAUUGAUAAGUUCCAAAUUAUAUUCAACUUGCUAAUUUGGUAGAACUUUUAUAUCUCUUUUUUUUUUCAACCAGCUCUAACAAUCUCAAUAUUGAUAUGAAUCUUAACAGUUCAUUCUUCUAACCUCUUAAGCAAAGUUAUAACCAAGAAAAUAAUCUUAUACUAAUUUGAAAGUGCUCUGUACUCACCUGUAGUUGAAACAACUUUUAAAUUUUGACACUGUACAAAGAACCCUCACUCAACAUGUGCCUAAACCUUAUCACUAAAUUUUUCCUGAUUGUUGCAUGCAUUAAAUUUUCCUACGAAAAAAAAAUGCUACAUUAAGUGUAAAACAAUUAGGAAAAAAAUUAGAGAAAACAAUGGGAGAAUGAAUUUUUUAUAUAAUAUUUUCAUCAAUAAAAAUCAUGUUCAUGCUAAUCAAUUCUCCAUUCUUCUUGGUAUUACCAGACUCGCACAUCCUACAAAGUCUAACCCUUAUCAUCCAACUAUCUUUAUCAUUGUUCAACUCAUGGAAAAGAGUACUCCAUGAAGCACACAAUAUUAAAAAUUUAAAAAAAUAAAAAAAUAAAAAGACAAGACAUUUAUAAAGAGGAUGUUGGUUAAAUAAUAAAAAAACUCAAACGUAACAAAUCUUAAAUACUUAAUGUUUAUAAAGUUUAAAGAAGGCAAAAUACACUAAACAAAAUGUUGCAUAAUUAAAUAUGUGAUUAUGAUAUUAAAAUUAGGUUUUAAUGGCAUUAAUGAGGGAAGAUGAAGGAACCUUCCUUCCUAUAUUAAUUAGUUGAUGUAUUUUAAGCCACUAAAAUUUAGUUGUUGGCUUAAUAAAAUAAAUUAAUGUUUCAAGACUUAUAAUUAAUUAUUAUUAAUGGUUACAUAUUGUUGAAUUUAAAUAGAAAGGGGGAAGAGACAUGUAAUCUUGUGUAAUCUAAUAAUUAUUUUCUAUUUUUAAUAUUUUGUAAUGUAAUUAUUUUUAAUCUCAACCAAUAUAUUAGAUAAUAGAGAAUAUAAAAAGAUGAGAAAUAAUGAUGCCACAAAUCUUAAAUACUUAAUGUUUAUAGAGUUUGAAGAAACCAAAAUACACUAAACAAAAGGUUGCAUAAUUAAAUAUGGGAUUAUGACAUUAAAAUUAGGCCCUAAUGGCAUUGUUGAGGGAAUAUGAAGGAACUUUCUUUCCUAUAUUAAUUAAUUGAUAGAUUUUAAGCCAUUAAAGUUUAAUUGUUGGCAUAAUAAAAUAAAUAAAUGUUUCAAAAUUUAUAAUUAAUUAUUAUUAAUGGUUACAUAUUGUUGAAUUUAAAUAGAGAGAGAGGAAGAGAAAUGUAAUCUUUUGUAAUCUAAUAAUUAUUUUUUAUUUUAAAUAAUUUGUAAUAUAAUUAUUUUUUAAUCUCAACCAAUAUAUUAGAUAAUAAAAAAUAUAAGAAAAUGAGAAAUAGUGAUGACACAUCACCUCUUAUGAUCCCAGCUUUAUAUAUAUAUAUAGAUAUAGAUUAAUCGUUUUUGUUAAUUUGCAGUGAUUUUGCCUACAACUACCUAAAUGGUUCCAUACCAGUCGAAUGGGCUAUGUUGCAGUUGAAGUUCAUGUAAGCUAUAUCUAAUUCUCUCUAAUCAGGUUACGCAUUUAGCAUUCUACUUGAUUCGUACAGUUAAUUGAUCGUCAAUAAUCUUAAUGCAGCUCUGUUUUUGGAAACCGGUUAUCAGGCGAUAUUCCAAGCUAUUCGGCGGACAUUACCAGUCUCACGUACUUGUAAGCUAUCAAUUCUUGGUUUAUGCAAACAUAUUUAGGCCACUGAUGGAAAUGAUAACUAAUUUAUUCCCUUUGUAAUCUGAAUGGGUCUAAUUUGCCAGGGACAUUGAAGCAAACCAAUUCUCAGGAACCGUACCUCAGGAGUUCAGGAAAUUAGUAAACUUGGGAACUCUGUAAGGCAUUGUCAAGCUUUUUUGUGGCUGAUAUUUGUUCAUGAUCAAUGUAAUCAUUUGGACCAUAAAUUGUCAUGGGUUACAGGAGACUAUCCUCCAAUCAGUUGAGUGGAAGUUUGCCGACGGGACUAGCUGAGCUAAAAAAUUUAACGGACUUGUAAGCUUUCUUGAUUAGUGUCAGAUCAUGCUCAAAAUUCAUCAGAGGUAUAAGCUGUACUCAUUCUUAUUGCACAUUGCAGUAGGAUCAGUGACAACAACUUCAAUGGGAGUAUACCAGAAUUUAUACAAAACUGGAAGCAACUUGAGAGACUGUACGAUCAUCUACACUACAAAGAUUUCUCAACUUACAUUCUGGUUCUUGAUUGUUCUUGAUUUGUUAAUUUGAGUUGAUGCAGAGAAAUGCAAGGUAGUGGAUUGCAUGGACCCAUUCCACCAUCCAUCUCUGUCUUGGAAAAUCUGAAACUAUUGUGAGUAAAUAUUUCUCUACUUUUCAAUUACAAGAAUCAGAAUGAUUUAAUACAUCAAUUUAUAAUUUAUACGAUUAAUUUAUUAUAUUUAAUGAUACUAAAAGGAUCUGUUAAUUAUGGCACUCUACCAGGAGGAUUAGUGACAUAGCUGUAAGAAAUCAUCCUUUUCCGGAUCUUAGAAAGAUGGCAGGCAUUAUAACGAUGUAUGCUCAUUGGCUAUUUUCUAUCAUUUUGAUGGAGUAUGAUUAUUCGCCUUAUAAUUAUCUUACAGGAUUAAUGUUGGAUUUUCAGAACUUUGAGAAACUGUGGUAUUUCUGGGGAGUUUCCUGAAUAUAUCUGGCGAAUGAAUAAUCUGCAAAUUUUGUAAGUAUGCUACAUUCUUUGUUUUCUAAUGCAGAAAUUAAAUACUUGAAAAUGAAAGCAAAAUUCACGGUUAGCAUUCAUGAAAUGUAACACCAACUAGUAAUGUAGUAUUCUUCUAUACCUUGCAGCUGCCAUAGCAGCAAUAGAGUUGAAGCAUCAGCACUUACAGGCCAGUUAAUGUAUUUACAUGGAUAAUCAUUCUCUUUUGAAUUUGGUUUGGACAGGGAUCUCAGUUUUAAUAGGCUAACCGGGAAAAUUCCCAAUGUUGCAACUCCACCGAGUUUGAAAUUCAUGUAAGUUAAUGAAAUCAACUGUCUGGAUUUACAAUGUUAAUUAUGUGAUGUCCAACUCAUUAACCACUUGAUAUGGCCUUGGUCAGCUUUCUAACUGGCAACUUUCUCAGUGGGAACAUACCAGCGUCGAUCUUGAGGAAAGAAACCAAUGUGUGUGUAUCUUAUCACCUGGAUGCCUUGAGUUUUAUUUAUUUUAGUGAUUUAUGUUCAUAUAUAUUUGCAAUCUGUUGAUUUACUAUAUAGUAACCAUAUGUAACUUUCUAAUCUUGUUUCUAAAGAAACCAUAUUCAACAUCAAUUUUGAAAAGCAUUAUGCAUGAAAUUUCCUUCAUUGCUUCUUUCUUGCAUGCAGGGAUCUGUCAUAUAAUAAUUUCACUCAUCAAAGCCCUGAGCAGCCUGCUUGUCAGGAGAUACAGUCAGUAUAUUUCCCUCUCUAUGUUAAAUAAAUAAUCUUCUCCGCUUAUAAUAUCACUUGGGAUAUCUGAGUGCUGAUAUUUGCUUUGUCUUCCGUUAUUUCGUUAGGAGUCUAAAUCUGAACCUGUUCCGAAGUUCUUCUGGGGACAGCAAUUUGUAUGUUGCUUUUCAUGCUUUCUUAUUAUUGUAGCUUAUGUGACUGAUUUAACAACCAAUGUAUAAAGAAGUUUGCAAAUAUACAGUCAUUUUAUCAUCCAAUAAAUAAGAAGCAACGUAUAUUUUUAGAUUAGACAAUGUAAUGUCUACUAAUAUUCUUUAUUCCCUUGACUAAAACCAGAAGUGGAGUUCUUCCAUGCAGGAAUAAUUUCAAAUGUGAUCGAUGUAAGUAUACUCUACUAUCAGUAAGUCACCAUAAAAUUUACAUCUCGAAUAUGUUGACUUUUAGAAUCACAAAUAUUUGGUAGCCUAGCUAUUAAUAUCAUAUUCAAAUCAACUCCAAUUCCUCCAUUUAUUUUUUCAAUUGUCAAUUCAUUUCUGGUUUCCUGAAAGCUCAUUGCUAAUUGUCUUUGAAAUUCGUUUGUCUCGGCAGAUUGGCACUCUCUGCAUAUCAAUUGUGGUGGAAAUGACGUAAAAGUAAAUGGCAGCACAUUUGAAGGAGAUGGACAAAUUGGUGGUGGUGCUGCAACAUGCCAUUCACAAGAUGAUACUAACUGGGGUUUUAGUAGCAGUGGAGACUUCACUGAUGACAAUGAUGAAGAAAACAAACGUUACAUUGCAACUUCUAACUCAUCAGACCUUUCUGAACUAUAUAUUAAUGCACGCAUUGCUCCUCUUUCACUUACGUAUUUUGGAUAUUGUUUAGACAAUAGGAAUUAUAUGUUGAGUCUACACUUUGCGGAGAUCCAGUUCAGUAAUGGAAUUACAUUUCACAGCCUGGGAAGGCGUUUGUUUGAUAUUUAUAUUCAGGUAAUUAAUUAAAAUUAGGAAAUAGAUUUUCAUUGGAAAAAUUUCUCUGUGUGAGUUCUUGGGACACAGACAUGCUAUUGAGUAGUAUGAUGGAUGAUUCUCAAAAUGUUUCUCUGGAUUGUCUUGUUUCAGGACAAACUAGUUGAGAGGAAUUUCGAUAUAAAAGCUGAAGCUUCUGGGGUUCUUAAGCCAGUUGCAAGAUCCUAUAAUGUCACUGUUACAAAUCACAUUAUAGAGAUCAGUUUCCAUUGGGCUGGCAAAGGGACUACCGCACUUCCUAAGAGGGGAAUCUACGGCCCCCUAGUAUCAGCUAUUUCAUUGAAUGACCCCAGUGAGUCCUUUUCAUCCCUUAUUCUGUUUUCAAAAUCGACUAACAUUAUAAUACGUUGCGAAGUCCGGAUUUUUAGUAACACAAUUUCAAAUUUUCUUGUUUGAAGUUUAACUCUCUACGAUUGUACAUUAGAAAACAACCAAAAUUCAGAUAUUUAGUUUGUUUGCAGCCAUUUUCUUACAUAUCCAUUUUAUGUGAAAGGAAAAAGAAAAUCCCCAUAAGUUAUUAAGCCUAUCAACGUAGUUUUGAAUUUGUUUUCAUGCCCACACGUUUCUGUAAUGCAUUCGUUCCAUGUUUUCACAUGCUUCUGAUAAUCCUGCUUCAUGGAUUCUCCUUGGCAGACUUCAAACCUGAAAAUAAGAAGGUAGUGCCGAUUGUUGUUGGAGUAGUUGCAGGAUUAUCUCUCAUAAUCUUGGCGUUCGGUAUCCUCGGUUGGAGGUACUAUCUGAGAACCAAGAGGCGCAAAGAAAGAGGUGUGGGCUUCUUUUAGAUAAAAAUUUAAAAAUGCUUUCGUUUGCUACUCAACAUUUAUUCACAAUCAUUUUCUUUUUCAUUAUAAUAAUCAAAAUAGUAGCUUUAUAACAGCAUUAACUUUAGUUCUUGACAGCAUUUAUGUAAGCAUGUGAAGACAUUUAGGUUCAAACUACAUGCUGAUGCUCAUUUUGACCAUCCACAUUAAAUUUAGUAAGCAAAUAACUUAAUGAACCCGGAAACUCAUCUAGAGGCUAAAGCACACUUGUCUUAAUUUAGACAGGUUUUAUGAAAGAGUCGGAUCUCCAAACAAUUUCUUUUACCUUAAAGCAAAUUAAAGCUGCAACUAACAAUUUUGAUUCUGCAAAGAAGAUUGGAGAAGGUGGAUUUGGACCUGUGUACAAGGUAUAUUGGCCAACCUUUUGCCCCUAAUCAUCCUCUUAACACAAAAUUUCCUUCAAUGGUUACUUAAAAUAUGUACAUUCCUUUUUUCAUAACUGGGAUGCAGGGUCAACUAGCAGAUGGUACUAUAAUUGCUGUGAAGCAGCUCUCUUCAAAAUCAAGGCAGGGGAAUCGUGAAUUCUUAAAUGAGAUAGCCAUGAUUUCGUGUUUGCAACACCCAAAUCUUGUUAAAAUUCAUGGCUGUUGUGUUGAAGGGGAUCAACUCUUGCUAGUAUAUGAAUACAUGGAAAACAACAGCCUUGCCCAUGCUUUAUUCGGUAAGUGUAAUAUAUUGAUGAUUGCUUGAUUGAUUAUAUGAGAGGAAAAUAAAAUAGUAACUUAGAAACACUAUACAAGUUAUAUACCAAUCUAUUAUUCUCCCUAGUAAUAUUUCUUGGAAUGGUCAUGUUAAGGUGGUGAAAACAGUCAACUGAAAUUGAACUGGUCAGUGAGGCAGAAGAUCUGCCUUGGGAUAGCCAGAGGUUUAGCUUUUCUACAUGAAGAAUCCAGAUUCAAGAUAGUUCAUAGAGACAUCAAAGCUACGAAUGUUCUGCUAGAUAGAGAUUUAAACCCCAAAAUAUCUGACUUUGGACUGGCUAAGCUUGAUGAGGAGGAGAAAACUCACAUCAGUACUCGAGUUGCUGGAACAAUGUAAGCUACAUGUCUCUCUUUUCAAUGACAUUUUGUCACUAUUUUAACAUCAAAACUCAUGAUAAAUUUGAUAUGCAGAGGAUAUAUGGCACCCGAGUAUGCUCUAUGGGGUUACCUGACCUACAAAGCAGAUGUUUACAGUUUCGGAGUUGUGGCUUUGGAAAUUGUCAGUGGGAAGUAUAAUAUGAGUUAUGUGCCAGACAGUAAUUGCAUCUGUCCUCUUGACUGGGUACAAGAUUAACUAAAUUUUUAAUUCUUUAGUAGUACAUUUAACUCCAUUUUAGUGGGGACAUGUUUGUUUGUUUGUUAUUUAUUUAUUUGGGACAACAGUUAUGGCAUGAGUUUAAAUCCAAUAAAUGUAGAAUUUUUAACAUAAUUGUCUCGGUUAUGUAUUUCCCAGGCCUUCCAUUUACAUCGAAGUGGUACGUUAAUGGAGUUAGUGGAUCCAAGGCUGGGAUCAGAAUUCAACAAGGUUGAAGCAGAGAGAAUGAUUAAAAUAGCACUCUUAUGCACCAAUGCGUCACCUUCACUAAGGCCAACCAUGUCUGAAGUGGUAAGCAUGCUGGAAGGAUCUUCUAACAUUCCGGAUGUAAUCCCUGAAGCCAGUGGUUUAAGUGAAGACUUGAGGUUUAAAACUCUAAGAGACCAUCCAAGAGAAAUGAAUAGUUCGGGUUUGGAAGGAAGUCUGUCUCGUUAUUCAUCGUCAGCCAGCUUCUUGCCUGGUUCUUCCAGCUUCUUGUCUGGUUCUUCCCCUACCGAUGAUGUCCGUGAAAUUAAUGCAGAGGCAUAUUUGAAGUUUAAGGCCAUGAGAGACAGUCAUAUUCAUAUGGAAAGACAAAGUUCGGUUGCCCAAGUAUCAACACCAGUCCCCUCAUGGACUGGCUCUUCAAAAUCUGCCCAUGAU
RNAcentral lists this long non-coding RNA (13439 nucleotides) under Citrus maxima (pomelo). RNAcentral describes it as "long non-coding RNA (CMAX_LNC001108)". The record is from RNAcentral. Lineage: Eukaryota; Viridiplantae; Streptophyta; Magnoliopsida; Sapindales; Rutaceae.